This 253-nucleotide ribosomal RNA is filed under the name uncultured bacterium. Its description in RNAcentral is "partial 16S ribosomal RNA". It matches the Rfam family "Bacterial small subunit ribosomal RNA", at positions 524 to 776 of the family's 1533-position model. The record is from RNAcentral.
UACGUAGGGGGCAAGCGUUGUCCGGAAUCAUUGGGCGUAAAGAGCGUGUAGGCGGCCCGAUAAGUCCGCUGUGAAAGUCCAGGGCUCAACCCUGGGAUGCCGGUGGAUACUGUCGGGCUCGAGUCCGGAAGAGGCGAGUGGAAUUCCUGGUGUAGCGGUGGAAUGCGCAGAUAUCAGGAGGAACACCAAUAGCGAAGGCAGCUUACUACAGGAAGAUUGACGCUGAGGCACGAAAGCGUGGGGAGCAAACAGG